RNAcentral lists this ribosomal RNA (253 nucleotides) under uncultured bacterium. RNAcentral's name for it is "partial 16S ribosomal RNA". It matches the Rfam family "Bacterial small subunit ribosomal RNA", at positions 524 to 776 of the family's 1533-position model. The record is from RNAcentral.
UACGAAGGGGGCUAGCGUUGCUCGGAAUCACUGGGCGUAAAGCGCACGUAGGCGGGUUCUUAAGUCAGGGGUGAAAUCCUGGAGCUCAACUCCAGAACUGCCUUUGAUACUGGGAAUCUCGAGUCCGGGAGAGGUGAGUGGAACUGCGAGUGUAGAGGUGAAAUUCGUAGAUAUUCGCAAGAACACCAGUGGCGAAGGCGGCUCACUGGCCCGGUACUGACGCUGAGGAGCGAAAGCGUGGGGAGCAAACAGG